RNAcentral lists this ribosomal RNA (253 nucleotides) under uncultured bacterium. RNAcentral describes it as "partial 16S ribosomal RNA". It matches the Rfam family "Bacterial small subunit ribosomal RNA", at positions 524 to 776 of the family's 1533-position model. The record is from RNAcentral.
UACGGAGGGGGCUAGCGUUGUUCGGAAUUACUGGGCGUAAAGCGCACGUAGGCGGCUUUGUAAGUUAGAGGUGAAAGCCCAGGGCCUAACCCUGGAAUUGCCUUUAAGACUGCAUCGCUAGAAUCGUGGAGAGGUAAGUGGAAUUCCGAGUGUAGAGGUGAAAUUCGUAGAUAUUCGGAAGAACACCAGUGGCGAAGGCGACUUACUGGACACGUAUUGACGCUGAGGUGCGAAAGCGUGGGGAGCAAACAGG